CUCAACUUCUGUGCCUCCUCCUGUUAGCUUAAAGUGGGAGGGAGAAAGUGCAGGGAACUUAUAAAAAGGGAAGAAGUGAAGGAGGUUGUCCUGGAAAAAUGUAUUUAAAAGCCUAAAGUUUACUCUCCCCUUGCCCAUUUCCCCAAGGAAAGCAUUGCUUUGUGAACCAAUCUGUUCUCUUUCCUUCCAGGAACCCAAAUCUGAUGUAGAUUUGACCCACAGAGGUAUUCCUACCUCUCUGAGCUAUCAGAUUGAGUGUUCUCAAGUCAUACCCCUAAAUCAGUGAUCCUGGGGAAAGACCUUUCUUUAGGGGAAAAAAGAGAAGAGAGAGAGAGUUGUCAUGGUGGCACAUACCUAUAAUCCCAGAGAUUCAGGAAGCUGAAGCAGGAGAGUUACAAUUUUUUGAGACUAGCCUGGGCAACUUAGACGCUGGCUCAAAACAAAGUAGAAAGAACUGGGGAUGUAGCUCAGUGCUUGCCCUGGGUUCGAUCCUCAAUGUGGAGAGAGAUAGACUUUGCCUGUUCUCUUUUCUUUAGAGAAAGUGAAGAAGGAGUUGUGGAGGGAUGUAUGAUUGUGAUUUCU
RNAcentral lists this long non-coding RNA (582 nucleotides) under Marmota monax (woodchuck). The record is from RNAcentral. Lineage: Eukaryota; Metazoa; Chordata; Mammalia; Rodentia; Sciuridae.